CUCCAGACUCCUACGGGAGGCAGCAGUGGGGAAUAUUGCACAAUGGGGGGAACCCUGAUGCAGCGACGCCGCGUGAGUGAAGAAGUAUUUCGGUAUGUAAAGCUCUGCCAGCAGGGAAGAAGAAAGACGGUACCUGACCAAGAAGCCCCGACUAACUACGUGCCAGCAGCCGCGGUAAUACGUAGGGGGCAAGCGUUAUCCGGAUUUACUGGGUGUAAAGGGAGCGUAGACGGCAGGGCAAGUCUGGAGUGAAAAGCAGGGGCCCAACCCCUGGACUGCUCUGGAAACUGGCCGGCUGGGGUGCAGGAGAGGUAAGUGGAAUUCCUAGUGUAGCGGUGAAAUGCGUAGAUAUUAGGAGGAACACCAGGGGCGAAGGCGGCUUACUGGACUGUAACUGACGUUGAGGCUCGAAAGCGUGGGGAGCAAACAGGAUUAGAUACCCCCGUAU
RNAcentral lists this ribosomal RNA (448 nucleotides) under uncultured bacterium. RNAcentral's name for it is "bacterial SSU rRNA". It matches the Rfam family "Bacterial small subunit ribosomal RNA", at positions 329 to 793 of the family's 1533-position model. The record is from RNAcentral.